Molecule: ribosomal RNA, 1182 nt
Filed under: bacterium Pla-1-10-06
Lineage: Bacteria
Description: bacterial SSU rRNA
Rfam family: Bacterial small subunit ribosomal RNA
Source: RNAcentral
UGGCUGGUUCGCCUUAGGCACACGACACACGAGCGGAAACGAGUUAUCUGAGCCUUCGGGGGGAGAUAACGGCGUCGAGCGGCGGACGGGUGAGUAAUGCCUGGGAAAUUGCCCUGAUGUGGGGGAUAACCAUUGGAAACGAUGGCUAAUACCGCAUAAUAGCUUCGGCUCAAAGAGGGGGACCUUCGGGCCUCUCGCGUCAGGAUAUGCCCAGGUGGGAUUAGCUAGUUGGUGAGGUAAUGGCUCACCAAGGCGACGAUCCCUAGCUGGUCUGAGAGGAUGAUCAGCCACACUGGAACUGAGACACGGUCCAGACUCCUACGGGAGGCAGCAGUGGGGAAUAUUGCACAAUGGGCGCAAGCCUGAUGCAGCCAUGCCGCGUGUAUGAAGAAGGCCUUCGGGUUGUAAAGUACUUUUCAGCAGUGAGGAAGGUGGUGUCGUUAAUAGCGGCAUCAUUUGACGUUAGCUGCAGAAGAAGCACCGGCUAACUCCGUGCCAGCAGCCGCGGUAAUACGGGAGGGUGCGAGCGUUAAAUCGGAAUUAACUGGGCGAAAAGCGCAUGCGGGUGGUUUUGUUAAGUCAGAUGUGAAAGCCCGGGGCUCACCCUCGGAAUUGCAUUUGAAACUGGCAGACUAGAGUACUGUAGAGGGGGGUAGAAAUUUCAGGUGUAGCGGUGAAAUGCGUAGAGAUCUGAAGGAAUACCGGGUGGCGAAGGCGGCCCCCUGAACAGAUACUGACACUCAGAUGCGAACGCGUGGGGGAGCAAACAGGAUUAGAUACCCUGGUAGUCCAACGCCGUAAAACGAUGUCUACUUGGAGGUUUGUGGCCUUGAGCCGUGCUUUCGGAGCUAACGCGUUAAGUAGACCGCCUGGGGAGUACGGUCGCAGGAUUAAAACUUAAAUGUAUUGACGGGGGCCGCACAAGCGAGGAGCAUGAUGUUUUAUUUCGAUGCACCGCGAAGACUUUACCUACUCGUGACAUCCUCAGAAGAGACUGGAGACUGUCUUGUGCAAUCGGAAACUAGACAGACAGUAGCUGACAUGACUUGUCGUCAGCUUCGUAUAGUACAUAUAGAUAGGGAGUCUCAGUACGAGCCGCAACCCAUGAUCUUCUGCCAGCGACUAUGUCGUAUUCAGUGAACUGCCGUCGUGUUAGAAUCUGGAACAGGUGUUCGCUACGAC